GACGAGUACCCAAGGGCUUAUUUAUAGCUGAAGGGCCACAACCACCAACUACUCAGAGUUACUGCUUGCUCGUGACGAUCAGCCUGAGACACUAACAAAGUCCAGGCAGACGCUUUAACUACAUGCCCGUGACUGCACUGAGCAAAAGCGGACAAAAGUGAACAUUAUACCCGUGCAUCCCCAAGUACAAUGCAAUAAUAGCCACAGUACCCUCAACAACUGGAGACCGCAAUAGAUACUACGACUAUUUCGAUCACUUAGAUUUGUUUUUUCCAACUACAAAAUCAAACAAAGAUCAUUGAUCACAAUCAGAACUCAGACUUCUCAAAUAAAACAAGAUUUACAAGGAAAUUUGUUUGAGUACACCAACAAGUACUCGACAACAAAAUAUCACUCGAGGUCAAAAGAUCAGGGUUCCUCCAAAGAUACAAACUCAGACAUCUUGGCUGCAAUCGGCUCAGCCUCCUCAAGAUACUGCACAUAGGCAUCCUCUGUGCAGCUUUGGGCAACUCCAUCACCAGCC
Molecule: long non-coding RNA, 523 nt
Filed under: Setaria viridis
Lineage: Eukaryota; Viridiplantae; Streptophyta; Magnoliopsida; Poales; Poaceae
Description: long non-coding RNA (SVIR_LNC006948)
Source: RNAcentral